UACGGAGGAUGCGAGCGUUAUCCGGAUUUAUUGGGCGUAAAGCGAGCGCAGGUGGUUUAUUAAGUCUGGUGUAAAAGGCAGUGGCUCAACCAUUGUAUGCAUUGGGAACUGGUAGACUUGAGUGCAGGAGAGGAGAGUGGAAUUCCAUGUGUAGCGGUGAAAUGCGUAGAUAUAUGGAGGAACACCGGUGGCGAAAGCGGCUCUCUGGCCUGUAACUGACACUGAGGCUCGAAAGCGUGGGGAGCAAACAGG
This 252-nucleotide ribosomal RNA is filed under the name uncultured bacterium. RNAcentral's name for it is "partial 16S ribosomal RNA". It matches the Rfam family "Bacterial small subunit ribosomal RNA", at positions 524 to 776 of the family's 1533-position model. The record is from RNAcentral.